GGGCCAGGUGAGUCGCAGGCCGAGCCGAGCUCGGGUGAGGCACCGGCGGAGCUGUAGUCAGGGUCUCCGAUCCGGCCGGGUCCGCACACUGUGCCGACACAUCAGUUCCCUCAGCUCCAACUUGGGAGGCGGGAAACAUCGCUCCGCUUCACAGAUGAGAAAACUGAGGCUGAGCAGUUGCUUCGCUGAUUCAGACUCAGAGGCUCCGGCUGGGGGUGCGGGCCCGCUCAUCACAGGGGAUGGACCCCCAAGACUUAAUAUGCCCAAAACUUAAAUCAGCCUCCAAAAUCGCCAGUUAGGGGAGAGGCCCUGGACGCUUUCACUUUUCCCAAACCUUGGCCCGGCGCCACUGUCAACAGCACUGGCUUGGGGGUUCCCCAGGGCCUGGCAGAAGCAUCUGAAGGUGGAGUGUUGGUUUAUGGGGGCCCUGUGGAUACCACUUCGCUUUCCAAGGAGGCCAGUGAGGAGGAGCUGUGUGUUCCAGCUAGAGGGGACCGCAUGUGCAAAGGCCCUGAGGCAGGAACAGCUUGGCAUGUUUGAGGAGCAACCCUGAGGCUUUUGUGGCUGGAGCAGAGACAAUGAGGGUGGCGUGGAGCGGUAUGAGAUGAGUUCCUGAGGGCAGCGGGGCCAGGCCACAAGAGUCUUUCAGGCACCCCAAGUUCCUUUCAUGUCCUGGGCUGGAUGAGUGCUGGGACUCAAGCGUGAGUCAGAAAUGGCCCUGGCUGUCAGGGAACACACGGUGAUGGGUCAAGAAGGACACAUGGACACCUGGUGUAGGCUGAUGAGGGCUGCCAGAGUUUGGAGGAAGCCCCUCUCCCAGCCUGUGGUAGGUAGGGGAUCUGGGGGCAUCCUAAUGCUUUUGACUGUAACAGACAGAAAACCCAGCUCUGAACCAGCCCAAAAGUCCAAGCGGCCAUAUUGGCCCAUGUAGCUGAAGUGGUCUGGGGAUGCUAUGGAGAUCAGGUAUGGCUUGAUCAAGGCUGAGCAAUUUCCUGCCCUUUUUGUGGGCUGCUGGAUCUUCGGGGUGGCAGCAAAUUGGCUCCAGCCAUUCCAGGCCUCAUCUUUAUACACAGCUGUGUGGAGAGAAACUCCUCCAGUGGCCCUCUCAGGACAGCAAGUGAUCUUCUUUCCCAGAAGCACCUGGAAAGCUUUUCCUGAUACCUCACAGGCCUGAAUGAACCUAUAUCUGUGGCCAGGAAAGUUGCCGUGUGCUGAUUGGCUCAACUUGGCUUCCUCAACAAACCUUUGAGAGGGGAGAUAGGCUUCCUCUUAGGUAAUCAGGCAGGCUGGGAGGUGGGGUGGGUCAGCUCUUUGCAGCUGGAGGGCUGUGCAGGUGAGGGGUGCACACCUGAGCGAGCACCUGGGUACCGUGGGCAGGGCCACAGGGAUGCUGGGGAGGGGAACGGCCCCAAGUCUCGAGGUUGGUGUCUACAAGAACCACAGGUCUCUCUGCAGACCCCCCUUGUCUUUUCAGAGUGCCCACUGUCCCUGGGACUUGUGGGCAGGCCUCUGACAAAGUCCUGUAGCAGAUCACAGCUCAUUUGGACCUUGCUGCUGCCACGUUUGGGUGUCACGCCCAGGUUCCAGUGGCUUCUGGCCCCGCUACCUGCACAAAUGAUCUACACCUGCCUUCUCGCCAGUGUCGGGGACCCAAUGGUGUUUGUGAUCAAGAGUGGGUAGUGGGGUCUGUAUAAAUAAAUUUGUGACAUAGCUGAGACAAAAGGGUGAAAAUUACUCUUCGUGGGGUGCAACCCAGAGACUCUGGAAUCCUAACUCAGGUGGCCCCCUUCUCAGCCCCUGCCCCUUAUGCCUUGACUUUGCCCCCCCGCCCAGGUGGGACCCUGUGCCAGCCCCCUUCUCUCUGGGUCUCCGUGACCGCCCUGUAAAUAUAGGGUUAGGCGUGGAUGGCCCUGAGCCCACCUCUCUUCCCCGCAG
This is a long non-coding RNA of Eubalaena glacialis (North Atlantic right whale), 1935 nucleotides long. RefSeq lists it as uncharacterized. The record is from RefSeq and is a predicted model, not a curated record. The transcript has 5 exons. NCBI's taxonomy places the organism in Eukaryota, Metazoa, Chordata, Mammalia, Artiodactyla, Balaenidae.